CAGCCGUAAACAAUGUGCGUUAGGUGUGUCGGUAACCACGUGUUACUGAUGCGCCGAAGAGAAAUCGUGAAACGCACCACCUGGGAAGUACGGUCGCAAGGCUGAAACUUAAAGGAAUUGGCGGGGGAGCACCACAACAGGUGGAGCCUGCGGUUUAAUUGGAUUCAACGCCGGAAAACUCACCAGGGGAGACUGUUACAUGAAACCCAGACUAAUGAUCUUGGUUGAUUUUCAGAGAGGUGGUGCAUGGCGUCAGUGACU
RNAcentral lists this ribosomal RNA (261 nucleotides) under uncultured archaeon. RNAcentral's name for it is "partial 16S ribosomal RNA". It matches the Rfam family "Archaeal small subunit ribosomal RNA", at positions 748 to 1008 of the family's 1478-position model. The record is from RNAcentral.